AACAUGAUGUAUUAGAUGUUUUUUAUCUAUUUUUUAUCUAUGGCCUUUACAUUCAACCAUUUAGAUGCGAUUAUUACAAUAGUCAACAAUACUAAACUUUACAUCAAGUACGGAAAUGAAUUCCAAGCAUGGUCGUCUCAAGACGGUGAAACAACUCUCAUUCUGUUUAGAAAAUAUUUUAAUUUUUAUGUGUUUGUAGUGCUAUUCCAUUUGGAUUUUGAAGGUUUUGCCGAGUGGUACUAGGUGUGUAAUAUUUCAUAACUGCACUCAAUUCAAUCUCAAAGCGUUUUUCAUAUCUCUCGUGGUGACGGGGCAGAAAGGAACAUCCUUGUGGUAGAACUUGCAUCAUAAGCCAAGAUUUUGCUUUCAUACCAACCAACUCCCAUUCAUCUUUAACAGUGGAUAAUUGAAGGUCCAGGUAUGCCAAAACAAUACAUGUUGCCCAUAUUGUCAUCAUAUUUCCAUUGCAUGGCACUGGACAGGCAUCUUUUAAAUCCUUAAAUGAUUUACCAACCAUAUUUGCUAUUGCUGACUUCAAUUCCCA
Xenia sp. Carnegie-2017 is the source of this 544-nucleotide long non-coding RNA. RefSeq lists it as uncharacterized. Lineage: Eukaryota; Metazoa; Cnidaria; Anthozoa; Malacalcyonacea; Xeniidae. The record is from RefSeq and is a predicted model, not a curated record. The transcript is spliced from 3 exons.